GCUAUACAUGCAGUCGAGCGGAGUGAUUUGGGAGCUUGCUCCUGAAUCACUUAGCGGCGGACGGGUGAGUAACACGUAGGCAACCUGCCCCCUAGAUCGGGAUAACAUUCGGAAACGAAUGCUAAGACCGGAUAGACAGUCUUCUCGCAUGAGAGGACUGGGAAACACGGAGCAAUCUGUGGCUAGGGGAUGGGCCUGCGGCGCAUUAGCUAGUUGGUGGGGUAACGGCUCACCAAGGCGACGAUGCGUAGCCGACCUGAGAGGGUGAACGGCCACACUGGGACUGAGACACGGCCCAGACUCCUACGGGAGGCAGCAGUAGGGAAUCUUCCACAAUGGGCGAAAGCCUGAUGGAGCAACGCCGCGUGAGUGAGGAAGGCUUUCGGGUCGUAAAGCUCUGUUGCCAGGGAAGAAUAAGGGCUAGUUAACUGCUAGUCCGAUGACGGUACCUGAGAAGAAAGCCCCGGCUAACUACGUGCCAGCAGCCGCGGUAAUACGUAGGGGGCAAGCGUUGUCCGGAAUUAUUGGGCGUAAAGCGCGCGCAGGCGGUUCUUUAAGUCUGGUGUCUAAGUGCGGGGCUCAACCCCGUGAUGCACUGGAAACUGGAGGACUUGAGUGCAGAAGAGGAGAGCGGAAUUCCACGUGUAGCGGUGAAAUGCGUAGAGAUGUGGAGGAACACCAGUGGCGAAGGCGGCUCUCUGGACUGUAACUGACGCUGAGGCGCGAAAGCGUGGGGAGCAAACAGGAUUAGAUACCCUGGUAGUCCACGCCGUAAACGAUGAGUGCUAGGUGUUGGGGGU
Molecule: ribosomal RNA, 800 nt
Filed under: uncultured Cohnella sp.
Lineage: Bacteria; Bacillati; Bacillota; Bacilli; Caryophanales; Paenibacillaceae
Description: bacterial SSU rRNA
Rfam family: Bacterial small subunit ribosomal RNA
Source: RNAcentral